UACGAAGGGGGCUAGCGUUGCUCGGAUUGACUGGGCGUAAAGGGCGCGUAGGCGGUCUGUUGCGUCGGGAGUGAAAACUUACAGCUUAACUGUGAGCGUGCUUUCGAUACGGGCAGACUUGAGGCAUUCAGGGGAGAACGGAAUUCCUGGUGUAGCGGUGAAAUGCGCAGAUAUCAGGAGGAACACCGGUGGCGAAGGCGGUUCUCUGGGAAUGUCCUGACGCUGAGGAGCGAAAGUGUGGGGAGCGAACAGG
RNAcentral lists this ribosomal RNA (253 nucleotides) under uncultured bacterium. Its description in RNAcentral is "partial 16S ribosomal RNA". It matches the Rfam family "Bacterial small subunit ribosomal RNA", at positions 524 to 776 of the family's 1533-position model. The record is from RNAcentral.